RNAcentral lists this long non-coding RNA (414 nucleotides) under Gallus gallus (chicken). RNAcentral describes it as "long non-coding RNA NONGGAT005648". Lineage: Eukaryota; Metazoa; Chordata; Aves; Galliformes; Phasianidae. The record is from RNAcentral.
CUUGUGUGCGCUGCGGGAUGUGCGCUGUGGUGGUGGAGGGGGUCCUUGUGAGGAGAGCAAGGCCCCGUGAGGGGAGCAGGGCCCGUGUGGAGCUCUUCAUGCCUUCACUGCUGCUCCUGCGGCCUGCCCGCAUUGCUUCCUCUGUGGAAGUGAGGUGGAGUGUCUGUGGUGGUGGAGGCGUACUCAGGGCCUGCAGUUUUCCAAGACAGGGUAGAGCGUGGAAUGGGAACGAUGUCUGCCAAACUUACAGCUUUUAAGCUUAAAAGAUUUAAACGAAGAUUGGAAAGGAUCUCAAUGCACUGAGUACAAGAGGGGGAAACAAAGAUGGAGGGAGAAUACAGGAGUCACUGCAUCUGCUAACAUAUGGUUUGUGUUUGUGUUGAGCUUUAAGCUAUGAAGGAACAGACUUACCAG